RNAcentral lists this microRNA precursor (84 nucleotides) under Ochotona princeps (American pika). Its description in RNAcentral is "microRNA 541 (ENSOPRG00000017424.1)". It matches the Rfam family "mir-541 microRNA precursor family". Lineage: Eukaryota; Metazoa; Chordata; Mammalia; Lagomorpha; Ochotonidae. The record is from RNAcentral.
ACGUCAGGGAAAGGAUUCUGCUGUCGGUCCCACUCCAAAGUUCACAAAAUGGGUGGUGGGCACAGAAUCCAGACCCUGCUUGUG